GCUGUAGUCGGUCCCAAGGGUUGGGCUGUUCGCCCAUUAAAGCGGUACGCGAGCUGGGUUCAGAACGUCGUGAGACAGUUCGGUCCCUAUCCGUCGUGGGCGUAGGAAAUUUGAGAGGAGCUGUCCUUAGUACGAGAGGACCGGGAUGGACACACCGCUGGUGUACCAGUUGUCUUGCCAAAGGCAUCGCUGGGUAGCUAUGUGUGGACGGGAUAAGUGCUGAAAGCAUCUAAGCAUGAAGCCCCCCUCAAGAUGAGAUUUCCCAUAGCGCAAGCUAGUAAGAUCCCUGAAAGAUGAUCAGGUUGAUAGGUCAGAGGUGGAAGCGUGGCGACAUGUGUAGCUGACUGAUACUAAUCGAUCGAGGACUUAACCAAAC
RNAcentral lists this ribosomal RNA (376 nucleotides) under Priestia megaterium. Its description in RNAcentral is "bacterial LSU rRNA". It matches the Rfam family "Bacterial large subunit ribosomal RNA", at positions 2552 to 2925 of the family's 2925-position model. The record is from RNAcentral. Lineage: Bacteria; Bacillati; Bacillota; Bacilli; Caryophanales; Bacillaceae.